UACGUAGGGCGCAAGCGUUGUCCGGAAUUAUUGGGCGUAAAGAGCUCGUAGGCGGUUUGUCGCGUCUGCUGUGAAAACCCGAGGCUCAACCUCGGGCCUGCAGUGGGUACGGGCAGACUAGAGUGUGGUAGGGGAGACUGGAAUUCCUGGUGUAGCGGUGGAAUGCGCAGAUAUCAGGAGGAACACCAAUGGGCGAAGGCAGGUCUCUGGGCCACAACUG
RNAcentral lists this ribosomal RNA (220 nucleotides) under uncultured bacterium. RNAcentral's name for it is "partial 16S ribosomal RNA". It matches the Rfam family "Bacterial small subunit ribosomal RNA", at positions 524 to 742 of the family's 1533-position model. The record is from RNAcentral.